AACGAACGCUGGCGGCAUGCCUAACACAUGUAAGUCGAACGAGACCUUCGGGUCUAGUUGCGCACGGGUGCGUAACGCGUGGUAACCUGCCCUUAGGUUCGGAAUAACUCCCCGAAAGGGGUGCUAAUACCGGUUAAUGUCUUCGGACCAAAGAUUUAUCGCCUUUGGAUGGGCCCGCGUUGGAUUAGCUAGUUGGUAGGGUAAAAGCCUAUCAAGGCGACGAUCCAUAGCUGGUCUGAGAGGAUGAUCAGCCACACUGGGACUGAGACACGGCCCAGACUCCUACGGGAGGGAGCAGUGGGGAAUAUUGGACAAUGGGCGAAAGCCUGAUCCAGCAAUGCCGCGUGAGUGAUGAAGGCCUUAGGGUUGUAAAGCUCUUUUACCCGGGAUGAUAAUGACAGUACCGGGAGAAUAAGCUCCGGCUAACUCCGUG
RNAcentral lists this ribosomal RNA (433 nucleotides) under uncultured bacterium. RNAcentral's name for it is "partial 16S ribosomal RNA". It matches the Rfam family "Bacterial small subunit ribosomal RNA", at positions 29 to 507 of the family's 1533-position model. The record is from RNAcentral.